CAGCUCGGGGAUAGACUGUGCAAGGAGGUGACUGCUGGGGUUUCUGGAAACAUUCCCAGUCCCUGGCGUGUUCAUCAGGAUUGUUGUAUUUCUUCUGCUGAAAAGAGGAAAAUUGCCCRUUACCAUAUAGAAGACUAAAAUGGGAGCCUAGAUCCGUAUUUGCAAACCAGCCUGGACAAGAGUUUGCUGUCUUGCUGUUCACCUCUGCUGAGCUGCAGUGCAGCCUUUUAUCGCCUCCCAUAUCAGGCCCUCUUUUAGCGGCACCUUGUAAGCCCGGAUUUGUGGUGUUUUUGAGGACGAAUCCCCUGAAAUCCCACGAGUGCUCGGGGCACUGC
RNAcentral lists this long non-coding RNA (335 nucleotides) under Dromaius novaehollandiae (emu). Its description in RNAcentral is "lncRNA (ENSDNVG00000000418.1)". The record is from RNAcentral. Lineage: Eukaryota; Metazoa; Chordata; Aves; Casuariiformes; Dromaiidae.